AUGGCGAGGAUCCUGCUGCAUGGGACGCUGCACGUCACCGUGUUCGAGGGCGAGGGGAUCACCAACAACAGCAGGCCCAGCAGUCAGGCGCCGCAGUUCCUCCGCAAGCUGGUGGAGGGGAUCGAGGACACGGUGGGCGUCGGCAAAGGCGCGAGCAAGCUCUACGCCACCGUCGGCCUUGGCAAGGCCCGCAUCGGCCGCACUCGCACGCUGAACGACGAGUCGUCGACCCCGCGCUGGUUCGAGUCCUUCCACAUCUACUGCGCGCACCUCGCCACCGACGUGCUCUUCACCAUCAAGGGCAGCAGCACCAUCGGCGCCUCCGUCGUGGGCACGGGCUACCUCCCCGUCCGCGACAUCUACGGCGGCGACGAGGUCGAGCGCUGGCUCCCGCUCUGCGACGACAGCCGCAACCCCGUCGAGGGCGGCGGCAAGAUCCACGUCAAGCUCCAGUACUUCGACAUCUCCAAGGACCGGGCCUGGGGCCGCGGCAUCCGCUCCGGGAAGAACCCCGGCGUGCCCUACACCUUCUUCUCCCAGCGCCAGGGGUGCAAGGUGACGCUGUACCAGGACGCCCACAUCCCCGACGGCUUCAUCCCCAGGAUCCCGCUCGACGACGGCCGCUGCUACGAGCCGCACCGCUGCUGGGAGGACAUCUUCGCCGCCAUCAGCAAUGCCAAGCACCUCAUCUACAUCACGGGAUGGUCCGUGUACACGGAGAUCGCGCUGCUCAGGGACGCCAACCGGCCCAAGCCGGCCGGCGGCGGCGUCACGCUCGGCGAGCUGCUCAAGAAGAAGGCCGGCGAGGGCGUCAGGGUCCUCAUGCUGGUCUGGGACGACCGGACCUCGGUUGGGGUGCUCAAGAAGGACGGCCUCAUGGCGACGCACGACGAGGAGACGAUGAACUACUUCCAGGACACCGACGUGCACUGCGUGCUCUGCCCCCGGGACCCCGACGACUCCGGCAGCUUCGUCCAGGACCUGCAGAUCUCCACCAUGUUCACGCACCACCAGAAGACCGUCAUCGUGGACCACGACAUGCCCCAGAGCGGCGGCGGCCGGCGCCGGCGGAUCCUCAGCUUCGUGGGCGGGCUUGACCUCUGCGACGGUCGCUACGACACGCCGUUCCACCCCCUGUUCGGGACGCUGGACGGCCCCCACCACGACGACUUCCACCAGCCCAACUUCGCGACGGCGGCGAUCGCCAAGGGCGGGCCGAGGGAGCCGUGGCACGACAUCCACUGCCGCCUCGAGGGCCCCGUGGCGUGGGACGUGCUCUACAACUUCGAGCAGCGGUGGCGCAAGCAGGGCGGCAAGGACCUGCUCGUCCAGCUCAGGGACCUCGCCGACGACAUCAUCCCGCCGUCGCCGGUGAUGCACGCCGAGGACAGGGAGGCGUGGAACGUGCAGCUGUUCCGGUCCAUCGACGGCGGCGCCGCCUUCGGGUUCCCGGACAACCCCGAGGACGCGGCGAAGGCGGGCCUGGUGAGCGGCAAGGACCAGAUCAUCGACCGGAGCAUCCAGGACGCGUACAUCUGCGCCAUCCGGAGGGCCAAGAGCUUCAUCUACAUCGAGAACCAGUACUUCCUGGGGAGCUCCUACUGCUGGAAGCGCGACGGCAUCGACCCCGACGACGUCGGCGCGCUGCACCUCCUCCCCAAGGAGCUGUCCAUGAAGGUGGUGAGCAAGAUCGAGGCCGGGGAGCGGUUCACCGUGUACGUGGUGGUGCCCAUGUGGCCGGAGGGCAUCCCAGCGAGCGGGUCCGUGCAGGCCAUCCUGGACUGGCAGAGGAGGACCAUGGAGAUGAUGUACAGCGACAUCGCGCAGGCCAUCCAGGCCAAGGGGAUCGACGCCAAACCCAAGGACUACCUCACCUUCUUCUGCCUCGGCAACCGGGAGGCCAAGAAGUCCGGCGAGUACGAGCCGCCAGAGCAGGCCGAGCCCGACAGCGACUACCUCAAGGCGCAGCAGAACCGCCGGUUCAUGAUCUACGUCCACACCAAGAUGAUGAUCGUGGACGACGAGUACAUCAUCGUGGGGUCGGCGAACAUCAACCAGAGGUCCAUGGACGGGGCGCGCGACUCGGAGAUCGCCAUGGGCGGGUACCAGCCGGGCCACCUGGCGACGAGCCGGCCGGCGAGGGGGCAGGUGCACGGGUUCAGGAUGGCGCUGUGGUACGAGCACCUCGGCAUGAUGGACGAGGCGUUCCAGCGGCCGGAGAGCCUCGAGUGCGUGCACAAGGUGAACGCCAUGGCCGAAAGGUACUGGGACCUCUACGCGGCCGACGGCCCAGAGCGCGACCUCCCCGGCCACCUCCUCACCUACCCUGUCAGCGUCACCGGCGACGGCUCGGUGACGCAGCUGCCCGGGGUGGAGUUCUUCCCGGACACCGAGGCGCGGAUCCUCGGCGGCAAGUCCGACUACCUCCCGCCCAUCCUUACCACGUAG
Molecule: ribosomal RNA, 2448 nt
Filed under: Triticum aestivum (bread wheat)
Lineage: Eukaryota; Viridiplantae; Streptophyta; Magnoliopsida; Poales; Poaceae
Description: partial small subunit ribosomal RNA
Source: RNAcentral